This is a non-coding RNA of Macaca mulatta (Rhesus monkey), 424 nucleotides long. NCBI's taxonomy places the organism in Eukaryota, Metazoa, Chordata, Mammalia, Primates, Cercopithecidae. The record is from RefSeq and is a predicted model, not a curated record.
CAUCUAUUUAUUGGUCAUGAACUUAAUCAGCCUUGGGAUAUGGAAGAAGGAUUGAAAAACACCAGUCACAGCCAUGUUCUUUUUGUAUGAAAGGCAGACAAGAAAACGCAUGACCUAAAGCCAACAUAAGAGAGUCGAGUAUGAGGGUACAUUUGUGAUCUCAAAGCUUCUGUGGAAGUCAAUGCUAUGUGCGGUACUUUUUUCCAGAAGUUCCAUUCCCCAGAGGUUAUUCAGUCUAUACUUUUUCAGUGUACGUCUCUCAAGGCUGGUUGUUUCGGGAAUGAAAUAAGUACAUCUUGGAUGUAAACACUGUUCCAGCUAUGCAAGUGUCUACACAAGCAAGUUGCCCAAACAGAGUGAAUAGCAUCUGUUUUAAAUGGAGUGGCUGGAGCUCUGAGUGAAAGACAGGAUCCCAUAGGCAGGU